Molecule: ribosomal RNA, 425 nt
Filed under: uncultured bacterium
Lineage: Bacteria
Description: partial 16S ribosomal RNA
Rfam family: Bacterial small subunit ribosomal RNA
Source: RNAcentral
GUAGGGAAUAUUGGACAAUGGGCGAAAGCCUGAUCCAGCAAUGCCGCGUGAAUGAUGAAGGUCUUAGGAUUGUAAAAUUCUUUCACCGGGGACGAUAAUGACGGUACCCGGAGAAGAAGCUCCGGCUAACUUCGUGCCAGCAGCCGCGGUAAUACGAAGGGGGCUAGCGUUGCUCGGAAUUACUGGGCGUAAAGGGCGCGUAGGCGGACAGCUUAGUCAGAGGUGAAAGCCCAGGGCUCAACCUUGGAAUUGCCUUUGAUACUGGCUGGCUUGAGUUUGGGAGAGGUGAGUGGAACUCCGAGUGUAGAGGUGAAAUUCGUAGAUAUUCGGAAGAACACCAGUGGCGAAGGCGACUCACUGGCCCAAUACUGACGCUGAGGCGCGAAAGCGUGGGGAGCAAACAGGAUUAGAAACCCCGGUAGUCC